Cerioporus squamosus is the source of this 107-nucleotide non-coding RNA. Lineage: Eukaryota; Fungi; Basidiomycota; Agaricomycetes; Polyporales; Polyporaceae. The record is from the annotation of a GenBank genome assembly.
GGCCGCGUGGCGUAAUGGAAGCGCGUCUGACUACGAAGACCGCAGGGUUCAUCCCUGGGGAAGCUCACGUGAUCAGGAGGCCGCAGGUUCGACCCCUGCCGUGGUCA